Molecule: ribosomal RNA, 107 nt
Filed under: Chelonoidis abingdonii (Abingdon island giant tortoise)
Lineage: Eukaryota; Metazoa; Chordata; Testudines; Testudinidae
Source: RNAcentral
GGAGAUGGCCAUAGUGGACUGAAUGAACCUGAUCUUAGAAGCUAAAUAGUCCCAGGCCUGACAGUACUUGGAUGAGGUAUUUCCUGGGAUACUGGAUGCCGUAGGCA